Molecule: ribosomal RNA, 1562 nt
Filed under: Staphylococcus aureus subsp. aureus USA300_TCH959
Lineage: Bacteria; Bacillati; Bacillota; Bacilli; Caryophanales; Staphylococcaceae
Description: bacterial LSU rRNA
Rfam family: Bacterial large subunit ribosomal RNA
Source: RNAcentral
CUCGUCCGCUCUGGGUUAGUCGGGUCCUAAGCUGAGGCCGACAGGCGUAGGCGAUGGAUAACAGGUUGAUAUUCCUGUACCACCUAUAAUCGUUUUAAUCGAUGGGGGGACGCAGUAGGAUAGGCGAAGCGUGCGAUUGGAUUGCACGUCUAAGCAGUAAGGCUGAGUAUUAGGCAAAUCCGGUACUCGUUAAGGCUGAGCUGUGAUGGGGAGAAGACAUUGUGUCUUCGAGUCGUUGAUUUCACACUGCCGAGAAAAGCCUCUAGAUAGAAAAUAGGUGCCCGUACCGCAAACCGACACAGGUAGUCAAGAUGAGAAUUCUAAGGUGAGCGAGCGAACUCUCGUUAAGGAACUCGGCAAAAUGACCCCGUAACUUCGGGAGAAGGGGUGCUCUUUAGGGUUAACGCCCAGAAGAGCCGCAGUGAAUAGGCCCAAGCGACUGUUUAUCAAAAACACAGGUCUCUGCUAAACCGUAAGGUGAUGUAUAGGGGCUGACGCCUGCCCGGUGCUGGAAGGUUAAGAGGAGUGGUUAGCUUCUGCGAAGCUACGAAUCGAAGCCCCAGUAAACGGCGGCCGUAACUAUAACGGUCCUAAGGUAGCGAAAUUCCUUGUCGGGUAAGUUCCGACCCGCACGAAAGGCGUAACGAUUUGGGCACUGUCUCAACGAGAGACUCGGUGAAAUCAUAGUACCUGUGAAGAUGCAGGUUACCCGCGACAGGACGGAAAGACCCCGUGGAGCUUUACUGUAGCCUGAUAUUGAAAUUCGGCACAGCUUGUACAGGAUAGGUAGGAGCCUUUGAAACGUGAGCGCUAGCUUACGUGGAGGCGCUGGUGGGAUACUACCCUAGCUGUGUUGGCUUUCUAACCCGCACCACUUAUCGUGGUGGGAGACAGUGUCAGGCGGGCAGUUUGACUGGGGCGGUCGCCUCCUAAAAGGUAACGGAGGCGCUCAAAGGUUCCCUCAGAAUGGUUGGAAAUCAUUCAUAGAGUGUAAAGGCAUAAGGGAGCUUGACUGCGAGACCUACAAGUCGAGCAGGGUCGAAAGACGGACUUAGUGAUCCGGUGGUUCCGCAUGGAAGGGCCAUCGCUCAACGGAUAAAAGCUACCCCGGGGAUAACAGGCUUAUCUCCCCCAAGAGUUCACAUCGACGGGGAGGUUUGGCACCUCGAUGUCGGCUCAUCGCAUCCUGGGGCUGUAGUCGGUCCCAAGGGUUGGGCUGUUCGCCCAUUAAAGCGGUACGCGAGCUGGGUUCAGAACGUCGUGAGACAGUUCGGUCCCUAUCCGUCGUGGGCGUAGGAAAUUUGAGAGGAGCUGUCCUUAGUACGAGAGGACCGGGAUGGACAUACCUCUGGUGUACCAGUUGUCGUGCCAACGGCAUAGCUGGGUAGCUAUGUGUGGACGGGAUAAGUGCUGAAAGCAUCUAAGCAUGAAGCCCCCCUCAAGAUGAGAUUUCCCAACUUCGGUUAUAAGAUCCCUCAAAGAUGAUGAGGUUAAUAGGUUCGAGGUGGAAGCAUGGUGACAUGUGGAGCUGACGAAUACUAAUCGAUCGAAGACUUAAUCAA